CGGGGCGUGGUGCAGCCUGGUAGCGCAUCUGCUUUGGGAGCAGAGGGUCGCUGGUUCGAAUCCAGUCGCCCCGACCA
Molecule: transfer RNA, 77 nt
Filed under: Acidobacteriota bacterium
Lineage: Bacteria; Pseudomonadati; Acidobacteriota
Description: Acidobacteria bacterium tRNA-Pro
Rfam family: tRNA
About the family: Transfer RNA (tRNA) molecules are approximately 80 nucleotides in length. Their secondary structure includes four short double-helical elements and three loops (D, anti-codon, and T loops).
Source: RNAcentral